GACGAACGCUGGCGGCGUGCCUAAUACAUGCAAGUCGAACGCUUCUUUCCUCCCGAGUGCUUGCACUCAAUUGGAAAGAGGAGUGGCGGACGGGUGAGUAACACGUGGGUAACCUACCCAUCAGAGGGGGAUAACACUUGGAAACAGGUGCUAAUACCGCAUAACAGUUUAUGCCGCAUGGCAUAAGAGUGAAAGGCGCUUUCGGGUGUCGCUGAUGGAUGGACCCGCGGUGCAUUAGCUAGUUGGUGAGGUAACGGCUCACCAAGGCCACGAUGCAUAGCCGACCUGAGAGGGUGAUCGGCCACACUGGGACUAAGACACGGCCCAGACUCCUACGGGAGGCAGCAGUAGGGAAUCUUCGGCAAUGGACGAAAGUCUGACCGAGCAACGCCGCGUGAGUGAAGAAGGUUUUCGGAUCGUAAAACUCUGUUGUUAGAGAAGAACAAGGACGUUAGUAACUGAACGUCCCCUGACGGUAUCUAACCAGAAAGCCACGGCUAACUACGUG
Molecule: ribosomal RNA, 508 nt
Filed under: uncultured bacterium
Lineage: Bacteria
Description: partial 16S ribosomal RNA
Rfam family: Bacterial small subunit ribosomal RNA
Source: RNAcentral